Molecule: transfer RNA, 72 nt
Organism: Ogataea parapolymorpha DL-1
Lineage: Eukaryota; Fungi; Ascomycota; Pichiomycetes; Pichiales; Pichiaceae
Rfam family: tRNA
About the family: Transfer RNA (tRNA) molecules are approximately 80 nucleotides in length. Their secondary structure includes four short double-helical elements and three loops (D, anti-codon, and T loops). Further hydrogen bonds mediate the characteristic L-shaped molecular structure. tRNAs have two regions of fundamental functional importance: the anti-codon, which is responsible for specific mRNA codon recognition, and the 3' end, to which the tRNAs corresponding amino acid is attached (by aminoacyl-tRNA synthetases). tRNAs cope with the degeneracy of the genetic code in two manners: having more than one tRNA (with a specific anti-codon) for a particular amino acid; and 'wobble' base-pairing, i.e. permitting non-standard base-pairing at the 3rd anti-codon position.
Source: Rfam
GCCGUUCUAGUAUAGUGGUUAGUACUCUUGUUUGUGGCACAAGCGACCCAGGUUCGAUUCCUGGGGACGGCA